This 404-nucleotide unclassified non-coding RNA is filed under the name soil metagenome. RNAcentral's name for it is "partial contains 5.8S ribosomal RNA, internal transcribed spacer 2, and large subunit ribosomal RNA". The stretch from base 1 to 121 matches the Rfam family "5.8S ribosomal RNA", at positions 35 to 154 of the family's 154-position model. The record is from RNAcentral.
GAUGAAGAACGUAGCGAAAUGCGAUAAGUAAUGUGAAUUGCAGAAUUCAGUGAAUCAUCGAAUCUUUGAACGCACCUUGCGCCCUUUGGCCAUUCCGAAGGGCAUGCCUGUUUGAGUAUCAUGAACACCUCAACUCUUUAUGGUUUUCCAUGAUGAGCUUGGACUCUGGGGGUUUUGCUGGCUCACAGUCGGCUCCUCUAAAAUGAAUCAGCUUACCAGUGUUUGGUGGGUAUCAUGGGUGUGAUAACUAUCUACGCUUGUGGUUUUUCCACCAGGUAACCUUCAGCAGUGGAGGUUCGCUGGAGCUCAUAGAUGUCUCUCCUCGGUGAGGACAGCCUUUGAACGUUUGAUCUCAAAUCAGGUAGGACUACCCGCUGAACUUAAGCAUAUCAAUAAGCGGAGGA